RNAcentral lists this transfer RNA (71 nucleotides) under Loxodonta africana (African savanna elephant). It matches the Rfam family "tRNA". Rfam says of the family: Transfer RNA (tRNA) molecules are approximately 80 nucleotides in length. Their secondary structure includes four short double-helical elements and three loops (D, anti-codon, and T loops). Further hydrogen bonds mediate the characteristic L-shaped molecular structure. tRNAs have two regions of fundamental functional importance: the anti-codon, which is responsible for specific mRNA codon recognition, and the 3' end, to which the tRNAs corresponding amino acid is attached (by aminoacyl-tRNA synthetases). tRNAs cope with the degeneracy of the genetic code in two manners: having more than one tRNA (with a specific anti-codon) for a particular amino acid; and 'wobble' base-pairing, i.e. permitting non-standard base-pairing at the 3rd anti-codon position. Lineage: Eukaryota; Metazoa; Chordata; Mammalia; Proboscidea; Elephantidae. The record is from Rfam by way of RNAcentral.
GCAUCAGUGGUUCAGGGGUAGAAUUUUCAUCUUCCACUUGGGAGACCUGGGUUCGAUUUCUAGCCCAUGUA